Molecule: small nucleolar RNA, 103 nt
Filed under: Theobroma cacao (cacao)
Lineage: Eukaryota; Viridiplantae; Streptophyta; Magnoliopsida; Malvales; Malvaceae
Description: Small nucleolar RNA snoR99
Rfam family: Small nucleolar RNA snoR99
Source: Rfam by way of RNAcentral
GUGCUUUAGGGAUGAAUAAGUCCCUCAUACGAAUAUCCAUCUAAAGCACUUUGUCAGUGGCCAUUUCUUGGUGGCUUAUUGAUCAUUAUGGGGUGGGAAAUGC